GGGUAUAUAGCUCAGUGGUAGAGUGCUUAGCAUGCACAAGGUCCUGGGUUUAAUCCCCAGUACCUCUA
Molecule: transfer RNA, 68 nt
Filed under: Camelus ferus (Wild Bactrian camel)
Lineage: Eukaryota; Metazoa; Chordata; Mammalia; Artiodactyla; Camelidae
Rfam family: tRNA
About the family: Transfer RNA (tRNA) molecules are approximately 80 nucleotides in length. Their secondary structure includes four short double-helical elements and three loops (D, anti-codon, and T loops). Further hydrogen bonds mediate the characteristic L-shaped molecular structure. tRNAs have two regions of fundamental functional importance: the anti-codon, which is responsible for specific mRNA codon recognition, and the 3' end, to which the tRNAs corresponding amino acid is attached (by aminoacyl-tRNA synthetases). tRNAs cope with the degeneracy of the genetic code in two manners: having more than one tRNA (with a specific anti-codon) for a particular amino acid; and 'wobble' base-pairing, i.e. permitting non-standard base-pairing at the 3rd anti-codon position.
Source: Rfam by way of RNAcentral